Molecule: ribosomal RNA, 1032 nt
Filed under: Clostridioides difficile
Lineage: Bacteria; Bacillati; Bacillota; Clostridia; Peptostreptococcales; Peptostreptococcaceae
Description: bacterial LSU rRNA
Rfam family: Bacterial large subunit ribosomal RNA
Source: RNAcentral
CAUACGAGAUAGGAGUCCGUCUCGUGGGCUCGGAGAUGUGUAUAAGAGACAGCAUGUGGACAGUAUGGGAGUGAGAAUGUUGGCAUGAGUAGCGAGAUGUGGGUGAGAAUCCCACAGGCCGUAAACCCAAGGUUUCCAGGGGAAGGUUCGUCCGCCCUGGGUUAGUCGGGACCUAAGCUGAGGCCGAAAGGCGUAGGUGAUGGACAACAGGUUGAUAUUCCUGUACUACCGAUAACCGUUUGAGAGAAGGGAUGACACAGUAGGAUAAGCUAAGCACACUGUUGGUUAUGUGUGCCCAAGCAUUGAGGCAGUCAAAGUAGGCAAAUCCGCUUUGAUAAUGCUGGGAUGUGAUGGGGAGCGAAAUUUAGUAGCGAAGUAGCUGAUUUCACACUGUCAAGAAAAGUCUCUAUCGAGGUUAAAGGUACCCGUACCGCAAACCGACACAGGUGGGUGAGGAGAGUAUCCUAAGGCCAGCGAGAGAACUGUUGUUAAGGAACUCGGCAAAAUGACCCCGUAACUUAGGGAUAAGGGGUGCCACCAUCAGGUGGCCGCAGAGAAUAGGCCCAAGCGACUGUUUACCAAAAACAUAGGUUUCUGCUAAGUCGCAAGACGAUGUAUAGGAGCUGACGCCUGCCCGGUGCUGGAAGGUUAAGGGGAUCUGUUAGAGCAAUCGAAGCAGUGAACUUAAGCCCCAGUAAACGGCGGCCGUAACUAUAACGGUCCUAAGGUAGCGAAAUUCCUUGUCGGGUAAGUUCCGACCCGCACGAAAGGCGUAACGAUUUGGGCACUGUCUCAACAACAGACUCGGUGAAAUUGUAAUUCCGGUGAAGAUGCCGGAUACCUGCGACAGGACGGAAAGACCCCAUGGAGCUUUACUGUAGCUUGACAUUGGGUCUUGGUACUACAUGUACAGGAUAGGUGGGAGGCUUUGAAACCAGGACGCCAGUUUUGGCGGAGCCAUCCUUGGGAUACCACCCUUGUAGUACUGGGACUCUAACCAUAGGCCAUGAAUCUGGUCUUGGGACACUGUCA